RNAcentral lists this ribosomal RNA (292 nucleotides) under uncultured bacterium. Its description in RNAcentral is "partial 16S ribosomal RNA". It matches the Rfam family "Bacterial small subunit ribosomal RNA", at positions 505 to 796 of the family's 1533-position model. The record is from RNAcentral.
GUGUCAGCCGCCGCGGUAAUACGGAGGGUGCAAGCGUUAUCCGGAUUCACUGGGUUUAAAGGGUGCGUAGGUGGGUUUGUAAGUCAGUGGUGAAAUCUCCGAGCUUAACUCGGAAACUGCCAUUGAUACUAUAGAUCUUGAAUCAUCUGGAGGUAAGCGGAAUAUGUCAUGUAGCGGUGAAAUGCUUAGAUAUGACAUAGAACACCAAUUGCGAAGGCAGCUUACUACGGGUGUAUUGACACUGAGGCACGAAAGCGUGGGGAUCAAACAGGAUUAGAUACCCGCGUAGUCC